AGCAAAGUGUUGAAGAGGAAAAGUAGAAUAGGAAGCUUCAAAGAGAAAACCAUCACCGGCUGAAAGUGGUUUAAGCCUCUCUUAUUUGAAAAUGCACCUCAGAGCCCCAUUUCGAAAAGAAUGCUCUUAGUAGAUAUGGGCGGAACCUUCCGUUAACAGGUUAGAGUGAGGCCAAGAAGAAAGAUAAUGGUCUAAUCAGAGUGGAACCACGCCCAAGCGUCUCUGUC
RNAcentral lists this non-coding RNA (227 nucleotides) under Bacillus sp. (in: firmicutes). RNAcentral's name for it is "Bacillus sp. T-box sequence". It matches the Rfam family "T-box leader". Rfam says of the family: Uncharged tRNA acts as the effector for transcription antitermination of genes in the T-box leader family. T-boxes are found upstream of many aminoacyl-tRNA synthetase genes and some amino acid biosynthetic genes usually in Gram-positive bacteria. The record is from RNAcentral. Lineage: Bacteria; Bacillati; Bacillota; Bacilli; Caryophanales; Bacillaceae.